GUGCUUAAAAUGGCCCUGUGUGGCAAUGCACUGAAUAUAAGCAUCUCGCUAAGCAGAGUUAAAGAAACCAACCAGGAUUCCCUGAGUAACGGCAAGUGAAGAGGGAAGAAGCCAGCGCUGAAUCCACAUCUAGUGGAAAAUGGAGGAAAUGUGGCAUACAGAAGGCUGCCUCCCCAGCAUCACUCAGGGGCUCAAGUCCUUCUGUUUGGUGUCCACCACACCGAUGGUGUUAGGUUGUUUAGCAGCCCUGGCACGCCAGGUGCAGGUCUCCUCUGAGAGGCGUACUUGGGAAUGCAGCACAAAGCGGGUGGCAAACUCCAUCUAAGGCUAUGCAUGGGUGUGAGACCAAUAGCCAACAAGUACACUAAGGGGAAGUUCAAAAAUACUUUGAAGAGAGAGUUCAUGAAGGUGUCUAACCAUCAAUAGUUGAACUGAAGGGGUCCAGGCAGUCCUUCCAGAGGAUUCAACAUAGUCUGCAGGUUGGUCACCCAGAACAUUGGAUCUCCUUGUGGGACCACCACCUAGCACAUCUGGCCACUGCAGGAUACAUUUCCUCCAUGGUAGUGUACCCCGACUGGUUCCAGGUCAGCUGGGUAUUCCCUGGGGCGGAGGUGGCUUUCCACCCCCAGUGGAGAGUGUAACAGACCCCUGGUUGCAGUUGUGCCAUGUCCAUGGGGCUGAUAGAGAUUGACCACUGGCAUGCCCUCCUCUGGGAACAGUCCCAGCCCUCUCUGGGGUCACUGUGGCAGAGACAGUAGACGGGGCCACCAGCACCCGGUGCGAUUGUUGACUGGGGUGGACUGUCCUCAUUGUACCCCGACCAUGUAGCACAACCAGGCGGGGAGGCCACAAAGGGGUCAGGGGUCUGCAGUGAUGUUGGCUUCCCACAUGACCCAUCUUGGAAAAUAGACCGCAUGUGCGAGUUGGAGAGGCAAACAGCAUCCGGUGGCACAAUGAAGGUGAGGACAGCGCAUACCGGCUGAUGUGGUCUCCUGUUGUGCUGUGCACAUCACUAGCACCUCUCUUCUGCUCUGUCCGGGAGGUGGGGCAUGUGCAUGGGUGAUAUGAGCCAAAUAAUUUUGAACUAUGCCUCGGCAUGACAAUGCCAGAUUGUACUCUGCUAAAUGUCUGUAUCAGUCCUGAUGUGCAAAUCAGUCAUUCAACAUUGGUAUAGCAGCAGAAGACUAAUUGAACCAUCUAGUAGUUGGUUCCUUCCAAAGUUUCCCUCAGGAUAGAUGGCGCUUCGAUACCCCACUUUUAUCUGGUGAAUGAAAUGAAUAGCGGUCUUGGGGCCAAAACAAUCUCAACCAUUCUCAAACUUUAUAUGGGUGUGGAGGCCCGAUCACUAUCAUGAAGCCUGGCAUCGGAAGCCAGUCCCCAGUGUGCCACUUUUGGUACACAGUACUGGUGCUGCAGGAUGAACCGAAUGCCAGGUGGCACACAAUGCUGACGCUCGUCAGGCCCCUGAAAAGGUGUUGGUUGGUAUAAACAGCUGAACGGAGUCCCUGGAAGUCCAAGUUUUCUAAGGAGUGUGUAACAUCUCACCUGCUGAAGCAACUAGGCCUUGCAAUGUAAAGAGCUGGAUCAUCGGGCCCAUACCCAGGGGCUGUGAGUGGUGAGAGCCACAGGGGCUAAGCCACUACGAGUAGGAGGGAUACUUCGGUGUGCAUGGUAGCUGGGGGCGAGUGCCUGGGGGGUGGUGCCACAGGUGAAAACCUUGGAGAUAGUAGCAAAUAUUCAAAUAUGAACUUUGAAGGCCAUCUUGCCCUCAGCUGAUUGAAAGUGAGUGAGGUUCAGAUCACCAAACCCAGAAUGGCGUAGACGAGCACCCUUGCAGCAUCCAUUGCAGUGCACACUGGAAUGGGUUUUCCCUGAGAGAGGCGCCCAAGCCUUGGAAAGUAUUGUGUUAUUUGCAGUGUGCGGUGAGCUCUUACUGGUCCUUGUUAAUCCAAGUGAUAUAGUGUGAAUCUCACUCCGGCCUGUACUCAUGUCGGCAUCAAGGCUCUAAGGUGAACCAACUCUGGCAUGUUGGAAUAAUGUAGCUAAUGAUAGUCAGCAAGUCAGAUCCGUAACUUCUGGAUGGGAAUUGGCUAUAAGGGAUGCAUCGGUCAGGCUGGUGCACAUAGUGGUGCUAGCCAUGCGUCAUGGCUGGAUGAGGAAUCUCCAUCCCGGGGGCCCAGCCUACUCUGGAAGUGAGCCAGGCCCUUUCUAUAGAUCAUCCCAGCUGGAGUGGUAUCGUCUCUCAGUUCUCCUCCGGGGUUUCGGGGCAUGCAUUGUUCCUCAGUCGAUGCCUAGUAGCUGACUUAGUACUGUUGUGGACCAGGGCAAUCCAACAGUUUAAUUGAAACAAGGAAUCACAAAGGCCCGCGUUGGGUGUUGGUGCAAUGUGAUUUCUGCCCAGUGCUUUGAAUGUCAAAGUGGUGAAAUUCAAUGAAGCAUGGGCAACUGGCAGGAGUAACUGCAACUCUCUUAAGGUGGUCAAAUGCCACAUCAUCUCAUUGGUGGCACGCAUGAAUGGUGGAUGAAUGGCAUUCCCACUGUCCCUCCCUACUAUGUAGUGAACCACAGCCAAGGGAACAGACUUGGCAGAAUAAACAUGGAUAGGAGACCCUGUUGAGAUUGACUCUAAUCUGACAUUGGGAAGAGACAUGAGAGAUGUGCAAUAGGUGCGACCCACUCUGGGGACAUUGGCAGGUGGGGAGCUUGACUGGGGCAGUACACAUGUACUACAACAAUGCAUGUGUCCUAAGGCAAGCCCAGGGAGGACAUAAACAUCCUGUGGAGACAAUGGACAAAAGCUUGCUGGAUCUCAAUUCUACAUAUGAAGAGUAAUCAGGCGUCAGGAUCCUUCUGACUCUUUUUGUUUCAAGCAGGAAGCGUCAGUAAAUGAACACAGGGAUAACUGUCUCGUGGCGGCAAAGCAUUCAUAGCGACUUCACAUUUUGCUUCUUACAUAUUAGGCCUUCCUAUCAUUGUGAAGUAGAAUUCAUCAAAUGUUAGAUUUUUCACCCUCUGAUAGGAAACAUGAUCUGGAUUUAGACCAUUGUGUGACAGAUUAGUUUUACCCUAUUGAUGAUGUGUUGUAAUAGUAAUCUUGCUGAGUAUGAGAGGAACCACAGGUUCAGAAAUUUGGUGUAUGUUUGCCCAGGACUCAAGGGUGUACAGAAGGGGCAUCCUCUAACACCCAUAGUACACCACAUGUGUGGCUCAUAAUAAUUUGU
RNAcentral lists this ribosomal RNA (3221 nucleotides) under Ambystoma mexicanum (axolotl). RNAcentral describes it as "eukaryotic LSU rRNA". It matches the Rfam family "Eukaryotic large subunit ribosomal RNA". The record is from RNAcentral. Lineage: Eukaryota; Metazoa; Chordata; Amphibia; Caudata; Ambystomatidae.